GGAGAGAUGUGAGAGUGGUUUAAUCAGCACGCUUGGAAAGUGUGUAAACUGUCAAAAGUUUCGAGGGUUCGAAUCCCUCUCUCUCCGCCA
Molecule: transfer RNA, 90 nt
Filed under: Candidatus Pelagibacter sp. IMCC9063
Lineage: Bacteria; Pseudomonadati; Pseudomonadota; Alphaproteobacteria; Candidatus Pelagibacterales; Candidatus Pelagibacteraceae
Description: tRNA-Ser (GGA) (tRNA-Ser-GGA-1-1)
Rfam family: tRNA
About the family: Transfer RNA (tRNA) molecules are approximately 80 nucleotides in length. Their secondary structure includes four short double-helical elements and three loops (D, anti-codon, and T loops).
Source: RNAcentral